AGAUUUCCCAGCUGAGAGCGAAGACUUCAAAAGCAGAAUGGACAGAUAACACAGUUAUGGCUCUACACCAGAGGCUCAGAGAACUGUGGAAGCAAAGUGCCCUGACAUAGACCUUACCAUUAGAAGAAAACCUACAUCGUUUUGAACCAGGGGACUGGAUUUGGAUAAAAUCAUACAGCCGCAAGUCACCACUACAACCAAAGUGGAAUGGGCCCUUUCAAGUUCUGCUAACCACCCAGACAGCAAUCAAAGUAGCUGAAAGGAAAGCCUGGAUCCACUGGAUGCACAUCAAACCAGCAGUUGUAGACCACAGCAUUAUACCUGAGGCAACACCAAAGGUUCCACCCCUGAGGCUCAAGAAAAACCCAGAAACCGAGGAGUGGACACUAAAAACACUUUUUGAAACUGAAACAAAUGGGGGAGGGAAUUAAGUUCAUCUUUGUUAAAAUCCUGUAUACUAUUUAUAUUGUAUUUUUGUAUUUGAAAUGUACCUCUGGGUUCAUGGAACCAAAAUUAUUUCCAGACAAGGGGAAUGUAUGGGAGUAUUUAGCAAGAGAAGUGCUAAACACCACAGAUUUUUGCCUGGCUGGGGGUAGAUCAGUAAAAGACAUCUUAACCACAUGCCUGAAGGGAGUAGCAAUAGCACCAAAAGCCAUCAUAAAUGACACUAAGUUAAGAGGGCACCCACUGACAGCCUCAUACUACAAUAUUUUUGAUUGGGGGACCAGUACAAACAUAAAAGUCAGCAGCAUGUAUAUAUUGCAAGUGGCAACUGUAACUCAAGCAGCUACUUGCUUCAUACUGACCGGAUGCCACAUGCCUAAGGUCUCCAGCUGCUACAAUCUCACUAACACUGAACUGGCCUGCAACAACACCAGGGCCAUCACCUUUUCAUACGGCUAUGUGAAACUUCCUACAGGAUGGUUUCUGCUAUGUGGCCUAAAAGCUUAUUCCUACCUGCCAGCAAACUCCACAAACUCCUAACUCCUUGCACGUUAGGGUGACUAACCAUGCUAAUGCCCUCCCUGCAAAGGCGGCAAGGGAGAAGCUUCCACACGUUACCUCCUGACUGUGACUCAAAGGCCUCCCUCCUCACCAAAGCUGAAUGUAUUGCAUUGGCUGUCUCUCUAGUGGAAGUGCCAGGGCUUGCAGCAUGGAACUCAAGGAAUAUAAACAGCUUGGCAUGUACCCUAGCUAAAAGUCUAAACACCACCUCCCAUGCUCUAGAUGCCUUGAACAAAGAAUUAAGGCAAGUCAGAGAAGCAACCCUCGAGAAUAGAGCAGCUAUUGACUACUUAUUGUUAAGGCACAAUCAUGGCUGUGAAGAAUUCUAUGGACUCUGCUGUUUCAACCUAUCUGACCAAUCUGGGCUAAUUGAACAAGAUAUCAAACAUUUAAAAGAACUAGCACAGAACAUUGGACACAACCAAUCAUACUGGGACCUUUCCUGGCUUUUCUCAUGGUUACCAGAUUUCCAUUGGUUGAAAAUUCUCAUUGCUAGCGUAAUCCCAGUCAUAGUAGGUGGAGCCCUCCUUUGUUGCCUAUGCCAAUCAAUUCCUUUAGGGUUAAAGUGCCUAAAGAUCUGCAUGACUCCCAUCAGAGGCAAAGAACAGAGCAAGAAAACCUCUCUCAUGAUGUGCCAAAUUAUCACCACUACCGUAUAUAUGAACCAGUUAGGCUAAUCACUGGUACACCAGUGAUAGCCCAAAAUGGGGGAAUUGAUAAGAGCUGGACACCCCCUCCCCACCCCAACGAGGGAAUGACCAGACAAACACAGGGAAAAAACCCAAUAUGAACUAACCUGAUUCAGCAGCAGCCUGAGGCUGGAUGGCAAACACUUAACACACACUGAAUGGAGAACUGGCUAGCAGCAAUUAGGAUUAACAAAUACACGACAAUAAAGUAAUUAACACCUUUUAGGCAGGAUUAGGAAGGAAAUUUGCCCAACAAUAGUCACUGACUAGCAAAUCAGGGAAGACAGAUUCGAACUCACCAAUCAAAAAUGACAAGUUUGGAAACCACGAAAGGGUAUAAAAACUCAUGUUUGAAGACCAUUCUGUCUAGCUAGCCAGGGAUUCAUGCUGAAUUGUCACUCAACUUUGAUCUCCGUGAUUAAAUCUCUCUUUCCGGUA
Long non-coding RNA from Crotalus tigris (Tiger rattlesnake), 2132 nucleotides. RefSeq lists it as uncharacterized. The transcript is spliced from 2 exons. The record is from RefSeq and is a predicted model, not a curated record. Lineage: Eukaryota; Metazoa; Chordata; Lepidosauria; Squamata; Viperidae.